RNAcentral lists this ribosomal RNA (836 nucleotides) under Staphylococcus pseudintermedius. RNAcentral's name for it is "partial 23S ribosomal RNA". It matches the Rfam family "Bacterial large subunit ribosomal RNA", at positions 1935 to 2770 of the family's 2925-position model. Lineage: Bacteria; Bacillati; Bacillota; Bacilli; Caryophanales; Staphylococcaceae. The record is from RNAcentral.
CGUAACUAUAACGGUCCUAAGGUAGCGAAAUUCCUUGUCGGGUAAGUUCCGACCCGCACGAAAGGCGUAACGAUUUGGGCACUGUCUCAACGAGAGACUCGGUGAAAUCAUAGUACCGGUGAAGAUGCCGGUUACCCGCGACAGGACGGAAAGACCCCGUGGAGCUUUACUGUAGCCUGAUAUUGAAAUUCGGUACAGUUUGUACAGGAUAGGUAGGAGCCUUAGAAGCGUGAGCGCUAGCUUACGUGGAGGCAUUGGUGGGAUACUACCCUAAUUGUAUUGGAUUUCUAACCCGCAGCACUUAUCGUGCUGGGAGACAGUGUCAGGCGGGCAGUUUGACUGGGGCGGUCGCCUCCUAAAGAGUAACGGAGGCGCUCAAAGGUUCCCUCAGAAUGGUUGGAAAUCAUUCAUAGAGUGUAAAGGCAUAAGGGAGCUUGACUGCGAGACCUACAAGUCGAGCAGGGUCGAAAGACGGACUUAGUGAUCCGGUGGUUCCGCAUGGAAGGGCCAUCGCUCAACGGAUAAAAGCUACCCCGGGGAUAACAGGCUUAUCUCCCCCAAGAGUUCACAUCGACGGGGAGGUUUGGCACCUCGAUGUCGGCUCAUCGCAUCCUGGGGCUGUAGUCGGUCCCAAGGGUUGGGCUGUUCGCCCAUUAAAGCGGUACGCGAGCUGGGUUCAGAACGUCGUGAGACAGUUCGGUCCCUAUCCGUCGUGGGCGUAGGAAAUUUGAGAGGAGCUGUCCUUAGUACGAGAGGACCGGGAUGGACAUACCUCUGGUGUACCAGUUGUCGUGCCAACGGCAUAGCUGGGUAGCUAUGUAUGGACGGGAUAAGUG